RNAcentral lists this ribosomal RNA (1408 nucleotides) under Bacillus amyloliquefaciens. Its description in RNAcentral is "bacterial SSU rRNA". It matches the Rfam family "Bacterial small subunit ribosomal RNA". Lineage: Bacteria; Bacillati; Bacillota; Bacilli; Caryophanales; Bacillaceae. The record is from RNAcentral.
UGGCGGCGUGCCUAAUACAUGCAAGUCGAGCGGACAGAUGGGAGCUUGCUCCCUGAUGUUAGCGGCGGACGGGUGAGUAACACGUGGGUAACCUGCCUGUAAGACUGGGAUAACUCCGGGAAACCGGGGCUAAUACCGCAUGCUUGUUUGAACCGCAUGGUUCAGACAUAAAAGGUGGCUUCGGCUACCACUUACAGAUGGACCCGCGGCGCAUUAGCUAGUUGGUGAGGUAACGGCUCACCAAGGCGACGAUGCGUAGCCGACCUGAGAGGGUGAUCGGCCACACUGGGACUGAGACACGGCCCAGACUCCUCGGGAGGCAGCAGUAGGGAAUCUUCCGCAAUGGACGAAAGUCUGACGGAGCAACGCCGCGUGAGUGAUGAAGGUUUUCGGAUCGUAAAGCUCUGUUGUUAGGGAAGAACAAGUGCCGUUCAAAUAGGGCGGCACCUUGACGGUACCUAACCAGAAAGCCACGGCUAACUACGUGCUAGCAGCCGCGGUAAUACGUAGGUGGCAAGCGUUGUCCGGAAUUAUUGGGCGUAAAGGGCUCGCAGGCGGUUUCUUAAGUCUGAUGUGAAAGCCCCCGGCUCAACCGGGGAGGGUCAUUGGAAACUGGGGAACUUGAGUGCAGAAGAGGAGAGUGGAAUUCCCGUGUAGCGGUGAAAUGCGUAGAGAUGUGGAGGAACACCAGUGGCGAAGGCGACUCUCUGGUCUGUAACUGACGCUGAGGAGCGAAAGCGUGGGGAGCGAACAGGAUUAGAUACCCUGGUAGUCCACGCCGUAAACGAUGAGUGCUAAGUGUUAGGGGGUUUCCGCCCCUUAGUGCUGCAGCUAACGCAUUAAGCACUCCGCCUGGGGAGUACGGUCGCAAGACUGAAACUCAAAGGAAUUGACGGGGGCCCGCACAAUCGGUGGAGCAUGUGGUUUAAUUCGAAGCAACGCGAAGAACCUUACCAGGUCUUGACAUCCUCUGACAAUCCUAGAGAUAGGACGUCCCCUUCGGGGGCAGAGUGACAGGUGGUGCAUGGUUGUCGUCAGCUCGUGUCGUGAGAUGUUGGGUUAAGUCCCGCAACGAGCGCAACCCUUGAUCUUAGUUGCCAGCAUUCAGUUGGGCACUCUAAGGUGACUGCCGGUGACAAACCGGAGGAAGGUGGGGAUGACGUCAAAUCAUCAUGCCCCUUAUGACCUGGGCUACACACGUCUACAAUGGGCAGAACAAAGGGCAGCGAAACCGCGAGGUUAAGCCAAUCCCACAAAUCAGUUCUCAGUUCGGAUCGCAGUCUGCAACUCGACUGCGUGAAGCUGGAAUCGCUAGUAAUCGCGGAUCAGCAUGCCGCGGUGAAUACGUUCCCGGGCCUUGUACACACCGCCCGUCACACCACGAGAGUUUGUAACACCCGAAGUCGGU